GAUUUAAUCAGCCUUUGGAAACAUCCGAUAAAAUUGGAACAAUAGGGAGAAGAUUAGCAUGGACAAGGAUGACACACAAAUCAAGAAAAGGUCCAAAUUUCU
This is a non-coding RNA of Camellia sinensis, 102 nucleotides long. The record is from RefSeq and is a predicted model, not a curated record. Lineage: Eukaryota; Viridiplantae; Streptophyta; Magnoliopsida; Ericales; Theaceae.